This 497-nucleotide ribosomal RNA is filed under the name uncultured bacterium. RNAcentral's name for it is "partial 16S ribosomal RNA". It matches the Rfam family "Bacterial small subunit ribosomal RNA", at positions 28 to 507 of the family's 1533-position model. The record is from RNAcentral.
GAUGAACGCUGGCGGCGUGCCUAAUACAUGCAAGUCGAGCGAAAAGACGAGGAGCUUGCUCCCCUGACGUUAGCGGCGGACGGGUGAGUAACACGUGGAUAACCUACCUAUAAGACUGGGAUAACUUCGUGAAACCGGUGCUAAUACCGGAUAAUAUAUUGAACCGCAUGGUUCAAUAGUUAAAGACGGUUUUGCUGUCACUUAUAGAUGGAUCCGCGCCGCAUUAGCUAGUUGGUAAGGUAACGGCUUAUCAAGGCAACGAUGCGUAGCCGACCUGAGAGGGUGAUCGGCCACACUGGAACUGAGACACGGUCCAGACUCCUACGGGAGGCAGCAGUAGGGAAUCUUGCGCAAUGGGCGAAAGCCUGACGGAGCAACGCCGCGUGAGUGAUGAAGGUCUUCGGAUCGUAAAACUCUGUUAUUAGGGAAGAACAAAUGUGUAAGUAACUAUGCACGUCUUGACGGUACCUAAUCAGAAAGCCACGGCUAACUACGUG